GACGGAGGGUGCAAGCGUUGUUCGGAUUGAUUGGGCGUAAAGAGCUCGUAGGCGGUGUGUCGCGUCGGCCGUGAAAACCUGCAGCUUAACUGUGGGCUUGCGGUCGAUACGGGCAUCACUGGAGUUCGGCAGGGGAGACUGGAAUUCCUGGUGUAGCGGUGAAAUGCGCAGAUAUCAGGAGGAACACCGGUGGCGAAGGCGGGUCUCUGGGCCGAUACUGACGCUGAGGAGCGAAAGCGUGGGGAGCGCACAGG
This 254-nucleotide ribosomal RNA is filed under the name uncultured bacterium. RNAcentral describes it as "partial 16S ribosomal RNA". It matches the Rfam family "Bacterial small subunit ribosomal RNA", at positions 524 to 776 of the family's 1533-position model. The record is from RNAcentral.